GAUCUCAACUUCUCUCUCUUUCACGCUGCUUCUCGUUGGAGCAAAAUGAGAGAUCUGUAUCGAUGCUAUUUCCGUCUUCAAAUUUCUUUGUGAUGGUGUUAUUUGAUUUGUAGAUGUUUGUAUUUAUGUCUGUAUGAAGUUUUUCGUCCUUUGUUUGUGGUGAUGAUUCUUGCACAUCAGGUGUUUGUGUAUAUGAGUCUAAGAAGCUACAUUUGGUUGCCACCCUCUCGCUGGGGCAUCCUAGCAGAAAAAAAUCUGAGCUUUAGCUGUUCUUUGCUUUCUCUAUUCAGCAGGCAGAUUAGAUAGAACAGAGAAAGGGGAAAAUGUCGUACAUGCGCGGAGACUUGCUAUCCAGGACAAGGAAGUUGGUGAAGGGUCUCGCAAAGCCUACCCCGGUGUGGCUUAAACCCAUGGAAGACUUGCUGGAGGCAGGUUGAUUGUAACGAUUGGUUUCACAGGGCGCCGCCGGUGACAUUCCCACGGACGGAUGGGAAGAUCAGGAAGAUUGAAAUGCCGGAGGAUGUAUAUGUCAAGAGAUUCUUCAAGAAGCAUCCGGAUUCUCUCUACCAUGAUGCUGUCAAGUAACACUGCACUCUUUCUGCCGCUUCAAUCUCUUGUGCUAUGAUGAAAAAGACCCUAAGGUCUUAUCGUGGAAGAAAGGGGAGAAAAGGGAAUGAUCGCUUCGAGGAGGGGAUCGGCCUCCUAGGGUUUUGUCAUGAUACUGAAUAAUAUUUCAUUGAUUGAUUGAUUGAUUUCUGAAAAGAAAGGGUGACAUCACUAUUUAUAGAGUUCAUAAUAGACUCAAUAAACAUUAUUCAAAAGCUCAUAAAAGGGUCCUAACAAUUCCUCCCUAUUCAAAUCAGUUUUGUCCUUAAGGUUGAGUAGCAUCAAACUCGGGGAGCUUCUCUUUCAGCACUUCAACUAUAGGCUAUCUACAACGCAUCACAACCCGUUGAUCAAAUGUGCAAAUGAAAUCGCAGCUAUUAUGGUGCGGGGUUGACGAGCCUUAACUUCAUAUCGAAUCUCUGGAUUAAGCCCUUCAAUAAAUGUACCCAAAAGUUAUCGUUCCGACCAAUCUCUAGCUUGAUUUGACAAUCUUCCAAACCUGCUCUGAUAUUCUAACACUGUAGAAGUCUGACGAAUUUUGACGAGCUGUCCAUCAACAUUCUCAUAUUCUGAUGGGCCGAAGCGAACAAGAAGCCCUCUUUUGAACUGCUCCCACGAAGGAACUCCGUGGAAAGUUUCAUACCAAUCGUAUCACUGGAUUACAUCUCUAUCGAGCUGGAUUGAGGCCACUUCUAUCUUGGAUUCUUCUGGGGUUCUGUGAAAAUGAAAAAAAAAUUUCGCCCCAAAGAUACAACUGGUAGGAUCCCCAUCUUCCCAUCUCGGAAAUUCCACCUUCAUGUAUGAAUAGUUUAUGUCACAGUCUUGGGGCCCUUUUCCUGUAUUUUCAGAUCUAUGCAACGUAGAACUUGAGCCCCUAUCUUGUUGAAAUUUGCUGAGGCUCUCCAAUAGGCUCUUUUUGAAAUCAUUAAGUGUUUCUUGCAGCCGGUUCUCAAUUCUGAUUUCCAAUGCUUCCAUUUGUGCUUUCACUGAGUUAUAGGUGGCCAUUACGUAAGACUGCAAAUCUGUAAUCCCCAGUUCUUGUUUCUGAUGUCUGGUCAAGGGCAUCAACACUAUCGAUACGAACCUGCCGAGGAAGCGGACGUCGAGGGUAGUGCUGCGGUCGUGGUGUUGGAGGAAGAGUUGCUGUCCUGUUUCUGUCGUUGCGUAGGGUGAGAGCGUCGGGGGCUGGAAGGCGACUACGUCGGUAUGGUUGUAGCUGCAUGGGGUGAGAGCGCCGGUGGCUACGAUGGCGUGGAUGGAAGGCAGCGUUGCUUUGUCUCCAUCGCACUGCAGAAGGAGGCGCUAGUGACGUCGAGGGAUCGCGUGCGGUUGAGGAAACGAUGGUGGCUGCGGCGGUCGUGGUUGCCUUGUUUUGAUCGCCGUUAGGAGGGAUGGUUGAGCGACUGCAACUGUGAUCCAAGGAGAGUCAGCGAUGGUGGCGUGGUUGGGGACAACGUCGCCGACGGUAGAAGCGAUGAGGGGUUUGGUCCGUUGGUCGGGAAACAGCAGUGGGGGAGGGCGGCGUUGAAGCGGCCGAGGUUGAAAAGGGGAGUCAGUGUGUGCGUUGCCGGGUUUGAGGCAGCGCCGUGCAAGAACUUGCUACGUGUGCUGCUGGAGGGCGGCUGUGGCAGCGGUGGUUGCUGGCCGGAGCGAAGCGGCGACGGUGGUCGCUAGCCGGAAGCAGAGGAAGCGGUGGUGUGGUUGGAAACAAGAAACAAUGCUCUGUUUCUAUCGCUGCGAGAAGAGAAGGUUGCUGCCGGGGUUGAGAGGCAGCAGUGGCGAUGCGGUGGGAGCAAGGUCGUCGAGGGCGAGGAGCAGCAAAGGGUCGCCGGGGCUAGGCACUGCUAGGGGGUGGUUCGCUGGCCGGGAAUGGCGGCAGUAGCCCUUUCUCGGUUGCCUUGUUUUGGUCACCGCGAGGAGGGGAGGUUGCUGGCUGGGGAGCGGCGGCGGGGGUGGAGAAGGAGGCAACGAGAGUCGCGGCUGCGAUCGACGAGGGGCUGCAGCAAUAGAGGAAGCUCUAUUUCUGCAACCGCUAUAAGGAGGGGCUGCGUCAACCGGCGGUUGCGACCCAAGGAGGGGCGGGCACGAUGGCGGACUAGGGCAGCGUCGUCGACAGUAGAAGCGGCGAUGGGGUGGUUCGCUGGCUGGGAAACGACGCCGGCGGUCCUUCUCGCUCAAGCGAGAUGGGGAAGUGAGGAGAGGUCGCUGGCUGGGUGGGGGUAGCGGUGGCGGUGGUGGCUGUUGGCUAGGCAACAGCGGCAGUAGUGGUGGUCCCUCGGUCGGGAAGCAGCGGCUGCAGUGAUCGCUGACCGGAGAUUAGCGGCGGCGGGUGAGCUAGCCGGAAGCAGGGGAAGCAGGGGUGGCUGCGACUUCUUCUUCUUCUUCUCUCCUUUUUUUUUUAGGAUGAAGAUAACUACAGCGAGGGGGCAGCGGCGGUGGUGGUGGCUGCUGGCUGGGCAGCAGCAACAACGGUGGAGAAGGGGCAACGGUGGUCGCUGGCCGGGAUGCAGAGGUUCCUUCUCGGUUAAGAAGGAUCGGCAUUCGUGGCUGUUGGCUUCACCCUUCCUCAUGCAAAUUUCUUUUUUUUUUUUUAUAGUUACGGCAACACUGCAACGAGAACGCGAAGGAUCGCCGUUUUGAUACCAAAUGAUAAGACCCUAAGGUCUUAUCGUGGAAGAAAGGGGAGAAAAGAGAAUGAUCGCUUCGAGGGGAUCAACCUCCUUGAUCGCUUCGAGGGGAUCGGUCUCCUAGGGUUUUGUCAUAACAUUGAAUAAUAUUUCAUUGAUUGAUUGAUUGAUUUCCAAAAAGAAAGAGUUACAUUACUAUUUAUAGAGUUCCACCUAGGGUCCAUCAGGAUUUGGACUCUUAAUAAUAAAUAAAUAUUAAAUAAACCUCUACCUGAUUCUAACUGAACUAAACUGAUUCAAUAAACAAUUGGACUAAACAAACUCAAUAAACAUUAUUCAAAAACUCAUAAAAGGGUCCUAACAUAUGAUUGCUUAUCCUUUUGUGCUCUAGUGAUUGUAAUUAAUGUGUAUGUAAUUUGAUCGUGAGAGCCUUGGGUUUUAGUGUUUCAAUUUGUAGUUAUAAUGUGCUCGAUUGACAAAUUUGUACUGUGGUAUCAUCGGUACAAUUAGAUUUACUGUUGUAGUCAAUGACCAAAAUCUUAAUUAUGGGUAAUCCCCCUCAUGGUUUUUUGUCAGCUGCUUUCUUGUUUCAGUUCAAAAGGUUGGAAACUUGGCAUUAAUUUUUAGUUAAUUCUGUUUGUGUAGAAAUGAGUUACUUUAGACAGAUUUUUUGCGAUACCGAUUUUCCUUCCAAAUAGUGCUGAACAAAUGCAAUGAAGUACAGAUCGUAAUGAGUUGCUCUUAUUU
Musa acuminata AAA Group (dessert banana) is the source of this 3980-nucleotide RNA transcript. RefSeq lists it as uncharacterized. The record is from RefSeq and is a predicted model, not a curated record. Lineage: Eukaryota; Viridiplantae; Streptophyta; Magnoliopsida; Zingiberales; Musaceae. The transcript has 3 exons.